Molecule: ribosomal RNA, 513 nt
Filed under: uncultured bacterium
Lineage: Bacteria
Description: partial 16S ribosomal RNA
Rfam family: Bacterial small subunit ribosomal RNA
Source: RNAcentral
GACGAAUGCUGGCGGCAUGCCUAAUACAUGCAAGUCGAGCGAACAGAUGAAGUGCUUGCACCUCUGACGUUAGCGGCGAACGGGUGAGUAACACGUAAGGAAUCUACCUAUAAGCGGGGGAUAACAUUCGGAAACGGGUGCUAAUACCGCAUAAUAUCUUCUUCCGCAUGGAAGAAGAUUGAAAGACGGCUCUGCUGUCACUUAUAGAUGACCUUGCGGUGCAUUAGUUAGUUGGUGGGGUAACGGCCUACCAAGACGAUGAUGCAUAGCCGACCUGAGAGGGUGAUCGGCCACAUUGGGACUGAGACACGGCCCAAACUCCUACGGGAGGCAGCAGUAGGGAAUCUUCCGCAGUGGGCGAAAGCCUGACGGAGCAAUGCCGCGUGAGUGAAGAAGGCCUUCGGGUCGUAAAACUCUGUUAUAAGAGAAGAACAAAUUGUAGAGUAACUGCUACAGUCUUGACGGUAUCUUAUCAGAAAGCCACGGCUAACUACGUGCCAGCCGCCGCCGUAA